RNAcentral lists this ribosomal RNA (94 nucleotides) under Staphylococcus aureus VET0306R. The record is from RNAcentral. Lineage: Bacteria; Bacillati; Bacillota; Bacilli; Caryophanales; Staphylococcaceae.
UCACACCUGUUCCCAUGUCGAACACAGAAGUUAAGCUCCUUAGCGUCGAUGGUAGUCGAACUUACGUUCCGCUAGAGUAGAACGUUGCCAGGCA